AUAACAGAUAUAUCAUAUCAUAUAUAUGCAUAGACAGGUACAAUGUCUACCAGCAACAAGGGUGGUAGCAGCGGUGACAACGGACAACAAAACCGGCAACAACAUUGCAGUAUCCUGCAUAGAUAGGUUUUUAUUACUGCAAAAUUGAUCCCGGCAGCGCUACCGGUAGUUGCGGUAGAUAGGAUUGUACAUGCAGGUCUCUGCAUAUUGCACCAGGUCUCUGGGCGCAGGCAGACGGGUCGCCAAACCUGCAGAGGAAAGUUUGAGACUUUGGAGGCGAAUGGAAAGAUUUGGAGGUCUACUCAGGGAAACGGAAGCAGAACAGAAAACUUUGGAAAUGUAUCUACAGAAGGAAAGGAGGGUGAAGCGUACCGAGCUCAUAGGCUUUUGCAGCCACGGCGGCAGCAAUGUGAGCGGAGAUCUUUCUGAUGCUGCUGAAGGGCGGGAAGAUCGAUCCCUUCUCAAAGUUCUCCUGAUUGGCCUGAUCAGCUAGUGCUUCCGCUGUUUAAAUGAUUACAGCCAUGAGAUUGCUUCACAUCAAACCCUCCCUAGUUUCCCAUUUGGAUACAUAAUUAACAUUUACAUAUGUUCAUUGACUCCAUUAAGAAGGUACUUACAGGCAGCAAGAAGCAUGUCCUCAUGGACACGGGUGGCUCCAGCCAUAAUCAGACCAAGGCCAAGGCCAGGGAAAAUGUAAGCAUUGUUUGCCUGUCAUGAGUAGCGCAAUUGAGUUAGUAAUGAACUUGUGCUUUCAAAUAGCAGGUGCUUAGAUCAGUAAGGUUGUGUUGCCUCGGAGAAGUAUUAGAUAAAAGAACUACCUGCCCAGGUACAAAAGUCUUCCCAUCGUACUCAACAGGGUUAAAUGGACUACCACUGGCAAAUACAGCACGCCCCUGCAAAUAAAGAGACAUAAGUCCCAUUGUACUCCACAAAGUUUGUUUUCUCAAAUUUAGGCACACUUCUUUUUUUUUCUGGCCAAUUAGGUCACCAUUUAAAUGGUACUUGCACUGAGAUAAAUUUGCAGAUGCGACUCUGCCGAGUGUUGAGAGAGCUCACCUUGGUCCAGUUAUAUGCUUGUUCAGCAGUACAUUCAGAAUGUGAAGUUGGAUUUGACAGUGAAAAGAUGACAGGCCUCUGUAUUUGUAUUUUGGAGAUAUCAUAAGUUAGCUAACCACCCUUGUAAUGUAACACCUUCAACAUUACAUCUUGAGUAGCAAAAGCUGACAAAAGUUACCUCAUUGAAGGAAGCCAUGGCCUCAACAACUUCUUUUGUGAAUGCCCUUCCAACUCCUGAUGUCCCAAUCAAAACCGUAGGUUUGAUCGACUGGAGAAUAAAUAAAGAAACAUUAGUAUGAUUUUGAUGAAAUAACACCAAAAAGGAUAGCUUUAAGUAAAGGCAGCAGCUGUUAAUGAAUACAAUCACAAUCUUAAAUAUGCAUGAACAGUGAUUACCUGGACAGCAUCAAACAAGGUUGACACAGGCUCAUGCUCAUGUGCCCAAGGUUGUUUGAAUGACGGAAGGGAUUCUUUACGGGAGCUAACAAUUAAGCCCUAUAUAUAAAAUAUUGCAUCAGGCCAUCAGAUAAUCAGUUGAAGAAAAUAUUGUAUUAGCAAUUCUGAAUAUUCCUUUGGUAACAAACCUUUGAGUCCACCAGCCAAACCUUCUGGCGGCACUCUUCAAUCGGAGCUUUUGUCUAUAAAUCGAUCAAACCAGUAAACGUUAGCAGUAAGCACUACCAAUUAUGGAAACUGACCUUCCCACAUUCUGAAAAAUGUAGCAAGUUACCUGUUUUGAAAUCUGAAGAGCAAUGAGUUCUGCUAUGCCAGUUCCAGCCUGCAGUCAAAUACAUAAUCAGAAUCUUUUCUUCCGUGUCUCUAAAAUGAAGAAUCUCAUUGAUGGGAACAAUUUCAAUUCAACGGAUAUAUUUCAACAGUUUGACGGCAAAGGGAAAAAAAAAGUCCACCAAGAUAAGCUAUGAGCCUAUCACAGUAUCACUAACCUCCCCAGCACCAAGGAACAAAUAAGUGUGCUCUGCUAGGGUCCCACCAACCACCUUGAGUGAUGCUAACAAACCUGCAAGGACCACUGAUGCUGUGCCCUGCAAUCAUUCAUAUUUCCAUAUUGGUACAACCAUAAAAGGCAACAGACUGGAUGAUGGUGAUGACUCAAUUAAGGAUCACACCUGGUAAUAGUAAAAAAGAAAAAUAUCAUGGUUUGGUUCCAUUUACCUGGAUAUCAUCAUUGAAAACAAGAUGGCUCUUGCUAUAUUUUUCAAGCAGAUCAAAAGCAUUAUGAUUGGCAAAGUCCUCAAACUGUAAAAAAAAAACGGUUACAUUUUGUGAUAAGAGUAAAUUGAUCUGACAUAGCGACAAUAGUACACUGAAAGUCUCUGACUCACCUGAAUGAGGACUUUCUCACCGUAGAUUUGCACCACAGCGCUCAUGAAUUCUUCUAUAAGCUCAUGAUAUUCCUGCCAUUAAGGAAAAUGCACAUGUAAGGCCUCAAGUGCCUGAUAUUUUGCCAACUCCUUACUUCCUGCAAUCUUGUCGCAACUACAUACCUUGCCAGUUGCACGUUUUUGCCGCAGUCCAAUGUAGAACUCAUCAUUAAGCAGUUCCUCAUUGUUCGUGCCAACAUCAAUUGUAAUGGGCAAACACUGCAAAGCAAUUCAUUGUAAAUUUGAGAUAACUUAGUUAUAUGUUGAUACCAAACAUACAGGAUCACUACAAGAGAGGCUACAAAAAGGGGACAGUAAACAUGGGGCCACUUACAGCUGAUGGGCGAACUCCUCCAAGGGCAGUGUAGAGAGCAAGUUUGCCUACAGGAAUUCCCAUUCCCUAUAGAAGGAUUCAGCAUAACAUAAGCAAAGGCCCUGAAGCAAAGCAACUAAAAAGGCAAUCAUACCUGAGCACCCAAAUCUCCAAGUCCCAAGAUUCGCCCACCAUCAGUGACACAAAUAACUUGAAUAUCCCUCUGAGGCCAGUUCCUUAGAACCUCUAGGACCCUCCCCCUGGGAUGCACCUCCAGUCAGUCCAAAUCCAAUAGACGGACAGAAGAGAACUGCAUAAUUACUGCAAAUUCAAGCAGAUAUAGGCACACGUACUUGUCCCUCAGGCUGACAUACAGACCCUGCGGUUGUCUAAAGAUGGACCCAUACUUCUGGCAGGCCUCGCCAACAGUCGGUGUGUAAACAAAAGGGAGCAGCUCCUCCACAUUAUCAAUUAAAAGCCUGUAGAAAAGCCUCUCAUUUCUCUCCUGA
Molecule: long non-coding RNA, 3260 nt
Filed under: Setaria viridis
Lineage: Eukaryota; Viridiplantae; Streptophyta; Magnoliopsida; Poales; Poaceae
Description: long non-coding RNA (SVIR_LNC005296)
Source: RNAcentral